GUGCCAGGAGCCGCGGUAAUACGGAGGGGGUUAGCGUUGUUCGGAAUUACUGGGCGUAAAGCGCGCGUAGGCGGACAUUUAAGUCAGGGGUGAAAUCCCGGGGCUCAACCCCGGAACUGCCUCCAAAACUACUGGUCUAGAGUUCGAGAGAGGUGAGUGGAAUUCCGAGUGUAGAGGUGAAAUUCGUAGAUAUUCGGAGGAACACCAGUGGCGAAGGCGGCUCACUGGCUCGAUACUGACGCUGAGGUGCGAAAGUGUGGGGAGCAAACAGGAUUAGAAACCCGUGUAGUCC
This 292-nucleotide ribosomal RNA is filed under the name uncultured bacterium. RNAcentral describes it as "partial 16S ribosomal RNA". It matches the Rfam family "Bacterial small subunit ribosomal RNA", at positions 505 to 796 of the family's 1533-position model. The record is from RNAcentral.